RNAcentral lists this long non-coding RNA (384 nucleotides) under Gallus gallus (chicken). The record is from RNAcentral. Lineage: Eukaryota; Metazoa; Chordata; Aves; Galliformes; Phasianidae.
AUUUCCAUGCGUCCUGAGCUACUCCACAGGGACACUGUCUUGUUGGUGUUGUAGCCAGAAGGACAGGGAGCAACUGGGUCUUGAAGGGAGCAGUACAGCACUGUAUCUGGCAUACCUAUAAACUUCGCCGCUCCCUCCUUGUACUCCGCCAGGACGUCGUGCAGCUCCGCCAUGGUGGGCAGCGUAAGCUGUGCCACGGGAGGCACGCCGCUGACCUCGCGCAGCGUGUCGAGGGUGAGGUGCGGCGCCGUGCCGGUCCGCGUGUACAGCAGGCAGCCGGGCAGCGCCAGGGCGGCCGCCCCGCUCCGGCCCAGCCCCGCCAGCGUGCCCAGCCGCCCGCCCGCCACCCCGCACAGCUUCACCCGCAUGCCGAGAGCCGCGGCC